This 3084-nucleotide long non-coding RNA is filed under the name Medicago truncatula (barrel medic). RNAcentral describes it as "long non-coding RNA (MTRU_LNC004487)". The record is from RNAcentral. Lineage: Eukaryota; Viridiplantae; Streptophyta; Magnoliopsida; Fabales; Fabaceae.
AUCUUCUCGCAUCCUUUUACGGUAUUCAACUUUUUGUCCUGCCAAAAUAAACAAUAUAAUGCAUGCUUCAGCAGUGGUAAGCUAUAAGAUAGUCACAGGUCAUUAGUUGAGCUGGAACAGAAAUUAAGCAACAAUUAUAAAUAACCAAGAGUAAGAACUGAUUCAGUACCUAAAUAUUCAACAAGCUAUUACUAACACUCUUAAUCAAAAGGGCAGCAUCCAACUGUUAUACUAACAUUCCAAAUCAAAAGUUGGUUGUACAAAACUGAUAUCAUACAUGUAAGCUAGUAAUAUCCAAAUAACUAUGUUGAAUGGAUUGAGAAGACAAUUUUGAAUAUAUGCCAGAAAAAACUCCAAAGUCCCAAGUUAAUCCAUACUUCACAUGUGUUACAGCAAAAACAGACUAGGUAAUCAAGCUUCAAAUGAGCCUCCAAUAAUAGUGUUUCAAGGUGCAGUGCAAGGUCUGAGAAAUAGGGUAAUCUAAUAGAUGGGGAAGGAAGAUAAAAUAGAUAGCAACACAAGCAACAUGCAGAAAACAUAAUCUCAUAAGGCCAUGGAUUUCAAAAACUACAGAUAAAUCUCCACCCUUUAAAUCAGAAAUUGAAAUUUUUUAUACAAAGACAUGGGAAUGAAUACUAACACCUCAAAGCAAAAGCUAAUGUUUCUAUUAAUGUUGCCCUUCAUGUUGCUCUGCUACAUCAGCUAGCAACAUUAACAGAAAUUAAAAUUUUAAAUAGAAAAAACAAUACUAACACCUUAUAAAGAAAAAGCCAAUGUUGUGCUGCUACAGCACCUAGCAACAUUAACAGAAAUUGAGAUUUUUAAACAAAAACAUAGGAAUGAAUUGAGAUUUUUAUAAAAAUUGAUGACAGGCACUACACAAUUGCACAGACAAGCACAUAAGCAACAGUCAAAUAACUCAUUUGAGAAGUGAGAAUUGGGUACCGUUGGUUUAAAUUUGGGAUAGGUUUGAAGGUUAGCAAAAGAUCCCCUAUAUCAGAGUUGCAACAUUGUCAACAAGCAUAGACUACAACAACCAGACCCUAUUGUAGCAUACAACACAAAACAACCAUUCAUCAGGCACAUAUAAAUCUAACACCAUAGCUGCAAUAGAACCAAAAUCCUGCAUAAUUAGAACAAAUUAGGCCCCACCCACACGAUAUAGCAAAGACGGAAAAAAACUAAGUAACAACAAUAUAAAAUGCUAUAACACGUUCAAUAUUUCAAUUCAAUCACAAGCAUGCUUAAAACAUUGUAUUCUAUAAUUGUGCUCGUGAUUUUCGGAUAUCAAACCAUUAAUUGAUUUGAAUCGUUAAUCUUUGAACUCUCGAUUUUUAUUCGUGGGAAGGGAAAAAAUGAGUAAAAACCCUCAUCGAGACUUUGGAUUCGGGGGUUGGUUACGCGAAGGGAAGGUGCUAGCACCCUAAGCGUCUACGGUAUUCCGUAGGAACCUCUUACCUAAUUUAUCUUGUGCUAAAUUCAUUGCUUAUUUGAAAAUUAUUACCUAAAAAUCUAAGUGAAAGAAUGGGGGAAGAAGAAGUAUGUUUUUGGUUAUUUUUAUUUGAUUUGGAAGGAUAAAAAUCCUAUGCCUACAUACCCUUUAAGAAAAGGGAUCAAAACCAAUGUAGUUCACCUGAAAAGUUUCUUUUUGGUGGGUUGGUUGAUUUUAGAUUUUUAGAAAAUGGUUUCAAGAAGGGAUAAGAGGCCUCAAGGCAUGAGAUAAAAUAAGGUGAGGUUGUCGAAUUUUAAUUACAAAGAAAUCAAGUCUAUUAUGAAUAUUAAUUCAAUUAAGCAUUUGAUUAAGAAAAAUAAAAGGAAAAGCAACUUGGGUUACAAGCCAAGGUUUAUUAAGAAAAUAUUUUUGGAGUUUUGCAUGUUUUUGUUGUUUUUGAAUAAUAAAUGAAAAUUAAACUAACGGAGCAAUAAAAAUAAAAGCGCGUGGAUUUUUGUAGUGACGUUGGAUCACCACAAAAUCCCUAAUCUAAUUUUUUUUGCAUUUUUUGGAUAUAUCUAAGGCGGUAAGGAAAUAAAAGGACACACACACCCACACACUUUUCUCAUUUAUAUUUACAUUGGACCUAAAUACAUUCUAAUUGCUGGAAAAUAAAUAACAAUAAUUAAAAUGCUAAAUAGAAAUAAAAUAAAAAUGUAAAAAUGCUAAAAAGAAAUAAAAAUGCAAGAAAAUAAAAGAAAUGGGCUACCGAAGGGACAAAAUUCCGAAGGGACUUUUCCGAAGGGACUUAUUCCGAAGGGACAGAAAAAAAAAGGGAGAAGAAAAGAAUAGCUCGUUAACACAAGCUAAAUAGGGAGAAGAGAGAAAAGUUCUUUGACAACUCAAGAGAACUUUUUGGUGUGUCAAAUUGUGUGAAAUGAGGGCUCUAUUUAUAGGUGAGGAGGUUGAUGAAAAAAGGAAAAAUGGUUUAAUGGAAAUGAAGGACAAUUAUGGUGAAUUUUUGAAAAAGGAAUGUUAAAGUUGACACUUGACUUGAAAUUUUUUUUAGACCUUGUACAUUUUAUUUUGGACCUAUUGACACUUUGUUUUUUUUUUGACACUAAUUAAUUAAAAAGAAAUAAAAUAAAUCUAAUACGAAAUAAAAUAAAAUAAAUCUAAUACGAAAUAAAAUAAAACAAAUUAAACUAAAAGAUGGAAAAUAAAAAUUAUUAAGUAUAAAAAAAGUAACUAAUCUUAAAAUUAAAAUUAAUAAAAGAUGGAAAGAAAAUAAAAAGAGAAAAGAGAGUCCGACUCGGAAUCAAAAAUGAGGUACUUCAAAGUAACCUCUUUGCCAAAAUUUCGUCUGAAACGACGAAAAUUCCCGACUUUAAAAAUACAAAUAAAAUGGGUAAGAAUAGAGAAAAGUGGUCAAAAUUUGGGGUAUGACAAUAAUCAUAAGAGGGUACCCCUGUUGUGCUUGAAUUUUUGUUGCUUGUCUUUGUAAACAAAGAAUAGUUGCAAGAAAGUUUCACAAUUGAAAAUAUAAUAAUACACUAGUACUUUACUUAUUUAGAAUUACAAAAUAGGACUUCUUCAAUUGGUUAUUAUGUAUAACAUCUUCGUUCACCACACCAUAUCAAUCCGAUAUUACU